GCGCUUUCUGUCUCGUUGGUGACCAGCGGAGGGAUCAUUACCGAGUUUACAACUCCCAAACCCAAUGUGAACCAUACCAAACUGUUGCCUCGGCGGGGUCACGCCCCGGGUGCGUCGCAGCCCCGGAACCAGGCGCCCGCCGGAGGGACCAACCAAACUCUUUUCUGUAGUCCCCUCGCGGACGUUAUUUCUUACAGCUCUGAGCAAAAAUUCAAAAUGAAUCAAAACUUUCAACAACGGAUCUCUUGGUUCUGGCAUCGAUGAAGAACGCAGCGAAAUGCGAUAAGUAAUGUGAAUUGCAGAAUUCAGUGAAUCAUCGAAUCUUUGAACGCACAUUGCGCCCGCCAGUAUUCUGGCGGGCAUGCCUGUCCGAGCGUCAUUUCAACCCUCGAACCCCUCCGGGGGGUCGGCGUUGGGGACCUCGGGAGCCCCUAAGACGGGAUCCCGGCCCCGAAAUACAGUGGCGGUCUCGCCGCAGCCUCUCCUGCGCAGUAGUUUGCACAACUCGCACCGGGAGCGCGGCGCGUCCACGUCCGUAAAACACCCAACUUUCUGAAAUGUUGACCUCGGAUCAGGUAGGAAUACCCGCUGAACUUAAGCAUAUCAAUAGCCCGGAGGAA
RNAcentral lists this ribosomal RNA (620 nucleotides) under Trichoderma sp. I-1. RNAcentral's name for it is "eukaryotic LSU rRNA". The stretch from base 226 to 379 matches the Rfam family "5.8S ribosomal RNA". The record is from RNAcentral. Lineage: Eukaryota; Fungi; Ascomycota; Sordariomycetes; Hypocreales; Hypocreaceae.